GUAUUUUGUUAUAUGUUCUCCCCAAUUGCUUGGAUUGAAUUUUAAUUUGAUACAUACUAAGACGUUGUUUUUAUAUAAAAAUUGAGACGAAAUGAAUGCAUCUCCGUUGUGCCUCGUUGCCAAGGCAGUUCUGGAAAGCGCUCAUUCGUUAAACAGUUCACAGGUAUUAGAAGGAAUUAUGAGGGUUUGGGUCCGAAGACACCAGUUUAUUCAAUAAUGAUCCUUCCGCAGGUUCACCUACGGAAA
Molecule: unclassified non-coding RNA, 246 nt
Filed under: uncultured fungus
Lineage: Eukaryota; Fungi
Description: sequence contains ITS1
Source: RNAcentral